GACAGAGGGUGCAAACGUUGUUCGGAAUUACUGGGCGUAAAGCGUGUGUAGGCGGUUUGAUAAGUCGGAUGUGAAAGCCCCGGGCUCAACCCGGGAAGUGCACUCGAUACUGUCAGGCUAGAGUAUCGGAGAGGUUGGUGGAAUUCUCGGUGUAGAGGUGAAAUUCGUAGAUAUCGAGAGGAACACCGGUGGCGAAGGCGGCCAACUGGACGAAUACUGACGCUGAGACACGAAAGCGCGGGGAGCAAACAGG
RNAcentral lists this ribosomal RNA (253 nucleotides) under uncultured bacterium. Its description in RNAcentral is "partial 16S ribosomal RNA". It matches the Rfam family "Bacterial small subunit ribosomal RNA", at positions 524 to 776 of the family's 1533-position model. The record is from RNAcentral.